Ruditapes philippinarum (Manila clam) is the source of this 246-nucleotide long non-coding RNA. RefSeq lists it as uncharacterized. The record is from RefSeq and is a predicted model, not a curated record. The transcript is spliced from 3 exons. Lineage: Eukaryota; Metazoa; Mollusca; Bivalvia; Venerida; Veneridae.
UUACAACAUUAGAUAAGACAAAAUGAAUUAAUAAUCAUUUAAGACCAAAUUACCUAACCAGACAGCUGCUUAUCAAAAGAAGAAAGAUGCUGUUCAAAUUUUAUAUGGUCGUAUUAAUUCUACUGCAGUACUGUUUGUUAGGAAGUGGCUCAAAAAAGGCUUUUACAUUGAAACCACCGUCUACAAUACUACGUACGUACUUAGACUCUAGUUAUUUUUACAAGUAAAUCGUUGUGAUAGUGCCAG